UAGGGAAUCUUCGGCAAUGGACGAAAGUCUGACCGAGCAACGCCGCGUGAGUGAAGAAGGUUUUCGGAUCGUAAAACUCUGUUGUUAGAGAAGAACAAGGACGUUAGUAACUGAACGUCCCCUGACGGUAUCUAACCAGAAAGCACGGCUAACUACGUGCCAGCAGCCGCGGUAAUACGUAGGUGGCAAGCGUUGUCCGGAUUUAUUGGGCGUAAAGCGAGCGCAGGCGGUUUCUUAAGUCUGAUGUGAAAGCCCCCGGCUCAACCGGGGAGGGUCAUUGGAAACUGGGAGACUUGAGUGCAGAAGAGGAGAGUGGAAUUCCAUGUGUAGCGGUGAAAUGCGUAGAUAUAUGGAGGAACACCAGUGGCGAAGGCGGCUCUCUGGUCUGUAACUGACGCUGAGGCUCGAAAGCGUGGGGAGCAAACAGG
RNAcentral lists this ribosomal RNA (428 nucleotides) under Gemmatimonadota bacterium. RNAcentral describes it as "Gemmatimonadetes bacterium partial 16S ribosomal RNA". It matches the Rfam family "Bacterial small subunit ribosomal RNA", at positions 355 to 776 of the family's 1533-position model. The record is from RNAcentral. Lineage: Bacteria; Pseudomonadati; Gemmatimonadota.